GAGAGAGGCUCGUUGCAGCGAAGACUGCUACUCUUCGCCUCUUUGGUUAGACCCCAAAGCUCACUCG
This 67-nucleotide transfer RNA is filed under the name Lagocephalus suezensis. RNAcentral describes it as "tRNA-Ser". Lineage: Eukaryota; Metazoa; Chordata; Actinopteri; Tetraodontiformes; Tetraodontidae. The record is from RNAcentral.